AUCUCAGUUCGGAUUGCAGGCUGCAACUCGCCUGCAUGAAGCUGGAAUUGCUAGUAAUCGCGGAUCAGCAAGCCGCGGUGAAUACGUUCCCGGGCCUUGUACACACCGCCCGUCACACCAUGAGAGUCGGAACACCCGAAGUCCGUAGUCUAACCGCAAGGGGGCGCGGCCGAAGGUGGGUCCGGUAAUUGGGGUGAAGUCGUAACAAGGUAAC
This 214-nucleotide ribosomal RNA is filed under the name uncultured bacterium. RNAcentral's name for it is "partial 16S ribosomal RNA". It matches the Rfam family "Bacterial small subunit ribosomal RNA", at positions 1285 to 1500 of the family's 1533-position model. The record is from RNAcentral.